This 82-nucleotide ribosomal RNA is filed under the name Micrococcus luteus. Lineage: Bacteria; Bacillati; Actinomycetota; Actinomycetes; Micrococcales; Micrococcaceae. The record is from RNAcentral.
UCUGGUGAUGAUGGCGAAGAGGUCACACCCGUUCCCAUACCGAACACGGAAGUUAAGCUCUUCAGCGCCGAUGGUAGUUGGG